CGAUGUUUGGGUUCUCAGAGAGGAGCUCUUUCUACUGGAGAGGUGAAGAGGAUUAACAAGGUGCAGAAGGUGAGUGGAGAUACUUUUUAAAGGAUGAGAGCAAGGUGGGAACGGAUUAUUUCCCCCUGACAAACUGUCUUAAACUCAAUUAAGCCCUUAUUUUUGGCUUUUUACACCCUGAAAGAAGAUUUGUGUCAGGACUGUCUGUCACUGUGACUAUACCUGAAAUGAGUAAUGAGACAACACAGAUUUGAGUCUUUGCUGUGUAAAUGAUCAGUAUAUGUGCAAGUCUGUUUCUCAGAUUCUCUCAAAUAUUACUUUUUAAAUUCUGUAAGGAGUUUUCUGCCAUUUACAAAAUAAUCAAUAACCCAUAUCGAUCCCAUUUUUUUUGAUCUACAAAAGCAAACAAGAUCAUUGGCAACCAGAUUGACAAAUUUGUAAGGUGAUUUUUAAUGUCUUGUCAGCACAUAAUGGACAAGAUAAAGACUACUUUGUCCACAGGAGGCGCCAUAAUCAGUGCAAACUUAAGGUCCUUACACACCGGGAAUUUGACGCGCCUGACUAUACACAUUAAACCCGAUGCAAUUUUCCAACUUUCCGGGGGGAAAAAAGACGCGUCCCAGGUGGAGGCGAGAAGACUGAUACAACAGCAGACUGACUGUUUUUCAGUUCUGAUUAGACACUAGUGUUGAGAUGUCUGUCUGUCAUGAUAGCAUGUACUGAGUCGGGGCCAGAACCAGAUAAGCACAUUAAACUAUAAUCCAUAAACGUAAGGUAACAACCAAGACCUAAUGGUGCUGUGACAGCAACGCGAUUGAGUUCAAGACAAUGAAAAUACAUAUGGUAUGUUGUAUCUGAACAGGUUAGCUUACGAGCUAAAGUUACUUAGCACAGAUAAAAGUUAAAACAAAGACGUUUAACAAACUGUUAAAGCACACAAACCAUCCUUCAGGUCGUUAUCUUUGUAAUGUUUGUGUCUUUUAUCAAAGAGUUCUCUGUUCUUCGACACGUAAACAAUCAGCCGGUCGGCCAUGUUGGACAUACCGGUGAAUCUGACGUCACAAUCAUACACGCAAUCUGAUUGGUCAGAAGUGGACACACAGUAUGUGAAACUUUAGAAAAUUAGACCGUGGAACAAACAACAAAGAAAAAAAAUGCCGCAGUAUCGCAGGAGGGGAAAAUGUCACUGAUAUGAAAGGCCCUUAAGAGUUCCUCAUUGGAGCUUUAACAAGUAAAUUUGAACACCUCAUUGUUAGAUCUUUAAGUGAUUGAAAAAUUCUUGUCAUGUCAGUGUUGCUCAUAUUUUGGUUAUUUUUCCUUGAAAUAAGACUCAUACAUUUGCUUAGUUUUUAGUUUUUUCAAGGUCCGGACAAUUUUCUAAAAACAAAAAGCUAAAAUUCAAGCGGCAGAGUCACAUUAAAAAAGCAAAAUCCUAAUCUAUUUCACCCUCUAAGACAGGAGAUAAUUGCCCUUGUAUCACUGAACUUGUGUUAAGACCAUGAAACAAACGCAAACAGCGCACACACACACACUCGCUCACACACAUAUCCUCUUUCAGACGCACACAAAGACACACAUCGGAGCGCACACACUCUGCUAAUAAAGCAGCAGACAAGACAAGGGAAGAGAGAGUCAUUAGACGGCAAAGAUGCUUCAAAGCAGUUUGUCUCGCAUUUAGGACACAAGCCAAGGAUGCUCAGCUGACAGAGCAAACCUGCUUUGUAGUCAUUUUACCUCGGAAAGUGGGUCAGCAUUAUCAACACAGAGGAAGGAAUAAAAACCUUUAAAAGGCCUCGGUUCGAAAACUCAAGAUGCUACAAAGCAUUUCUCAGUCUUACUGCAUUGAUAGGAAUAAUUCUGUUACAGUUUCAGCUAUGAAUAAUGAUCAUUAACCCCAUUACAAAGAGGUGAAGCAUCUUUGUCGAGGGUAAGCUGACCUUGGCGGGAUGUUAAAACCCCUCUGAGAAUACUGUUUGCAUUAAAUAUGGUCCAGCUCUUUGACCAUAAACGAAUCACUGACUAUGAUUAAUUAUGCUAAUAUUUACUCAGGGUCUGGUGAUACAGAGCAGCAUGAUUAAGUGGCUCUCUUGUCAACUGUCAGCCAACUUUUGCUUUUUUAAUCCCGGCUCAUCUCCCUAAAUACAGAGUUAGCCGACUGGAACGUCUUAGAGUACGUUGGAAGAUUUUCAGUGUAGUUUGGAGAUUACGGUGCGUCUCAGCUUAGUGUUCUGCAAGUUUUAGGGAUUGCACUUACAUAACAUACAAUAUAUGUCAUUGUUUUUCAGCGCUGGUGAAUCACAGCUAAUAUAUUAUGUAUAAUCUGACUGGGAUGUCAUGAUUUUCCUAAUUCUGCUGUUGAAGAAUGCACAAAUUCAAAGUUUGGAGCAGAGAUUUUAGAAAUCCUGUUUCGUAAAGAACAGAUCACAGCAAGUAUUUCCUCUAAUAGGCAGAGGAGAGGAAACGGUGCAGGGGGGAGACAGCUGUAUUGUCUCAAGCUGAGAGUAGACGACUUAGCUCUCAGUAUCUGUCACUGAUGUCUAAACAAAGACCGCUGAGAGGAUCGAUAGAGUGCAGACCACAGGGCUUCAGAAAAACUGACUAUUGAGGUGAAAUGUCUCUUUAUGAGCACAGCAUGUAUGAAAAACUACUGAUUCAAAUCAGUCCUGAAACUUUACACACUGCAGGGACAGCUGGUCAGAGAGUACAAGAUGGAUUUGAUCUGGUCUGGAAUCGAUGCUCGCUAACUACUUCGACUGUAGUGGAUAAGCUCAGCAGAAUAGGGUUCGCUCUUACUGUACUUCUCACUUUUGAGUCUGAUUUGAACCCAGAGGAGAGGGAUGGAUGACUCCCAGGCCAAAUGAUUAAGGCUGAGCAGACGUAAGGUUUAAGCAGAAUAAAAAAAAAAAAAAAAGAGUCAGAGAGCAGACAUAGUCGUAUUCGGGGGGCUGAAACACCCCAGUGCACUUCAAUCAGUCCAGUUGUUGAGGUGGCACACAUGCUGUGCAGCUGCUGAAUGUACAUUCACUCAUUCCUGCUGUUUGAAGCACAUCUCUGGUGUAUCAGGGGAACAUCUUAUGUUUGUAUGAUUACUGCCCUGCUGCAGCGUCAUCACAUGAAAAUGGAUGACAACAUAGGACAGGAUGUGCGAUGGCUUCAUAGUGCGCCUUUCUCUCCCUUACUUAUCAUCGCUAUGUAAAAGGUGGAGCAUGUACAUAUGGGUAUUACUGAUCAUGCAGUAUACUGUGUGAAGUUAUGAGUACCUGGUUUACUGUUAGAAUGUUGAUUGAGGAGCAUUGUUGUUUUUUUAUGUAUUUCUAUACCACAGAGGCAGCUAAUAUAUGUAACAAUUGAGUCUCAGACAACAUGGCCAGUGGGGGCUUCAAGUGCAAUAUUUCAAUAUUUAUUAGUUAGUAAUAUAAAUAAGGUUCCAGUUUAUAAUGGGGCUUUUUCAUAAGGGCUUUUCUUUGCAAUCUGUAUAUGCUAUUUCUAAAUAAAUCAAUUAACUGCUGUCUUUUAUUACAAUGUAUACAGCAUUUAUAAAUCAGUGCUUGGUGACUAUGGACUAUGUAAUGGUUUCAUGAGAGUUUUUCCUCAGCCUUUCAGGUUGAUCAGACAGUAUAUUGAUUAGAAGUGAAUACUGAGAAGUUGAUGAAACCUGAGUGACAAAGCAGAGAUAAAAUGCCUUGAAUGCAGACAAGAACCCGUUCACAGCUGCAUAUCAAUCCUGUCCCAAGCUGACGCGAGUCUUACUUGGAGAAAAAGUAGGAAUUUAUGCUCCGACCAAAAGAUAAGUUAUGUGGGAAAGUGAGCAGGAUUGUGAAAGGAGUAAAACCACAACAGCGAGCGAGCAAUAGCGCUUUAUGUCUGUCAAAGUGAAAUUACUUGACAUGUAUUAUGGCUUCAGCACACCAGCUAAAGUUGAGGUCACAUGACAAUAAAACCAGCUGAUUCAAGUUCAAGACAUGUUUCAUUUACAAGUGACCAUCAAUUGACUUUUGUUUAGAUGAACAUUUAGAGCCAGUUUCAAGUCAAAACAACACUACUGUCCAAAUAUCAACCAUGAGAGAUCUUAUUUAAGUAGAAAGAAAUGCAUGCCAUAAUAAAUAGUCCAACAUUAGGAGGGGUUACAGAGUAAAUCAUUAUUAUAAACACUUGCUGUAAAGAAGUCCCCCUCAGAAGGUGUUGGUGCAUCAGCAGGAACAGCCACCCAGUCCAGCUCUGGCUCACAGUCACAAUCAUCAUAUUUGCUGUCAGACUGAGCUACCACGGCUGUGUUCACCAUUAAACACUGCUGUAAGGACAGCCGAGGAUACAGAGGCAGACAAAACAAGCAUGCACACGACUGCCAAAAACCAGAGAGGACGUCUUCAUUAGCACAGCCACAAUAAAUUCACAACUCUGUUACAAAUGAUGAGGAGAGAGAGAGAGAGAGGGGGAGAGAAGAUAUAUGCUGCCCUCUGCUGCUGGAUACUAAGAGGAUGACGCCUGUCAGAGCUCUGGGAUAAUCUGCACAAUUAUUGUGCAAAACAGAAGUUAAAUAACUGUCUUUUGGUGUAAGGUUCAAUUUAUCCCUUCAUUAUAUAUACAUAUAUAUAUAUUUUCAAGUAUCAAUAACUUGAAUCAAUGCAACAGUCAUUUAUCAACUAAAAUACAGGGUUAUAAACACACGUCAUCAGUGUUACAUUAAACAAAAAAGGAAAAACGAAACUAUAAAAUUACACAUGCAAACACGCAGAGAUAAAAAUAGGUACUUGUUUGCAGUUUUUUUUUAAAUUAUUUUAAAAGCACUUAUGUUAAAGUAGUUUGUUCAUUUCUUGCACAUAUAUCAUUCAGUAUGAAGUAUCCAAACAGCCUCAUUGUAAGUGACCCAAACAAACUUUGUCUGCUGCUGACAUCUAGCUGACACUGAUGGUAACAACAAAGAGUACACAAACCUCAGAAGAAACAAACUCAUAAACACACGCACGAACGCACGCACGCACGCACGCACGCACGCACGCACGCACGCACACACAAAGGGGAUUAAAAUAUUCAUUAAAUCAUUUCAGAGAGUUUUUAGCGAGGACUUUACUGCUGAUCUGAUUGCAGCCACGACUGCUUGUUGUUCAAGUUCCAUCUUUGCACCAGGGUUAUUGUGAAAAAGUUUGGUAUAAUCUUAGUACAUUUGAUGUUAAGGCAGAGUUUUAAAAUCUGUUUAUUUUUUUUCCUGUUUGCUAACUAAUUCAUCCAAACCUCACCCCUCUCUUAAAGGGAUGUUAAGUUAGGGUCAAACACACUGUAACACCGAGUUAGACACCCCAAGAGAGAUGAAUGUUGCCGACCGCUUGCUUCUCUAGAACAUUUAUGAUCAUUUCUUUAUCCUUUCCUUGCGGUAAUAAUCAUCAUAUUAAUCAUUUUGCACUGGAGACAUGGUAGUUCUUCUGCCUUAGCGUCUUGGUCUGAUUUCAUUUCCAUGAAGAAAUGAUCAUAGGUGCUGUUCUGAGAAUUAUUUGUGGCUAUAGAGUGGCUUUCUGGUUGAGCGUGUGGCUCUCUUUAUUGCUAUCUGAGGUCAUUACUAAAGUUGGUAUAACUAGAGAAGCAAGAGGUCGGCAACAUUCAUCUCUCGACGGGGUGUUUAACUCAGUGUUACAGUGUGUUUGACCCUAACUUAAUUUUACGCCGGAUAUCCCUUUAAAGGUCUACUACUACUACUACUAAUGCAGCAGCUACUCUUCCUGUGGUCCACAUCCAAGAAACAUAACAUACGAAGAUUAAACAAACCAUAUUAAAUGUGAGGGUAAGUGUUAAAAUACAUUCAGCAGUGACAUAGCUACAGAAAGUCAGUACAGGUUUAUAGACAUAUGCACAGGUUUGUUGCUGAUUUCACCAGGAUUAAGUAGUUCUCUUAAAAUUGGUGGUUUGUAACAAGUCCAGGUCCUCCUUUCACAUAAAAACCUCUCUCUAAGGGCAGCGGAGUUAAACGUCUUUGCAGCCAUUCGCGAGGAAAGUUCACUCAUCUGCCUCCUGCUGAACUCAUCCCACAGGUCAUCCCCACCACCAUGAAACCAAAGACUUGAUAACACAUCCACAAACCUGGGUGUACUGCAAUAAACGUACCAGCUGCAGCUCCGCUUAAAUAGACUGAACAGUUUAUUCUUUCAGUUGUCACAAAAUAAGAGGAUAUAAGUCAUGCAGCAUUUAUGUUAAACUAUAAGCUGUUAAUCAGACUGAUGACUACCACACAUGUCAAAACAUCGCUUAACAGGCGAGUCGCGAGUUAAUGCUGCUAAAUGCUUUGCAGGGUACAAAUGACAAUAAAGACAUCAAGCUUUCAUGAGCUGCACCGAUUUCAGGAUUUGCACGUUAAUAAAGCUGUAAAGAUGUCAGUAACACCUGCUCAAAUUACUAAUAAGUUCACAUGACCUCUAAGUCAUCCCACUCAUGAAUUUAAAAAAAAUGAGUGGAACCUGAAUUAUGACCUUUGGAGUCGUUAAUUUUCAAGUGUUCAUUUGACUCUCGAUGAGAUUAGAGGAGACAAUUAUUCCAUUAGCUUUGGCUCAGGAUGUGUCACCUUUCAGGGCAGAGCGGCUAAUGUAUUGCAUCUCCUUGUAUACAUGAAUAAUUCAUAAUCGUUAAUUGCAGCCGUAGCACGGCCCCGUUCUCUUCAUAAAAGCAAUCUGAACUGUAAAACAUAACAGGAGGAACAAAGUGGGCAGGGUUUCCAGUUUUUAUUUUAGGGAGAACGCGAUAGAGAGGUAAUAUUUCAUGACCCCUUAAGAGCACAGUGCUGCUAAUGAAUGUUCUUGCUCUUGAUUCCCCCAUAACUUUUUUGUGUGUUGAUCAUUUUGGUGCUGUUUUAUCCACCCAGUGUUCCUAAAGGUUCAGCUGCAAAGACCUUGUAGAUUUACGCAAUCAUGCAGGUCUUUCUUCAUUUAUAACUCUUGUGAGGAACUUUUUGUUAUGCUACCUCUUUUUUGUUGAUCUUAUCACGUCCAUGUGUAAUUGUGUUUUCUAAACCUGCUUUUAUUUCAACAGUCAAAUUUAUCACUCAGUGUAUUUGUGGAAGAAUUUAAAUUUUUGUGCACUUCAGGACAGUCUUGUCUGGCGCCUUCCUCUUUGCAGAAGUAACAGGCGUUAAAAUUUGCAUUAUAGAAAUCAUCAAUCUUUACACGGUUAGUCUUGUUUGCUCAAAACAGACAAGGCUAUUAAUUCCAGUCUAAAACUCCUCACAAAAUCAAACAGAAUUUUGUUGCCCUGAAUACUAAAAACAAUAUUUGGAAAAGUACAAACUAAUAUUUUUUCAUCUUUUUUUCUCUUUGUUGAAAUUUGUAGGCAUUAAAAAACCAAGAGGAAUAACUGAGUCAUUUUUAAACUGAUUCUUUUAUUACUUUCACCGAGAUUUUACUGCCCAGAGCAUCAAAAUUUGGCCGUGUUCCCACUGGAGGAAGCCCAAAAUUGAUCACCUUGAACGGCAAAGAGGAUCCUCCUGUGUUGAUGAUAGCUCAUAAUGUGUCUUGGCUUACAGAAUUAAGCAACGAGCCAGCGUCCUUUCAAGGUUAAAACGGCAAUAAACUAAACUGUAAACUGGAUUUAUUUAUUUUUACAAUAAGACAAAUCUCUCCCCUAACAAGCAAAGUAUUUGUUGUAUAAAGACAGACAUAAUGCGUCCCUAAACAGAAUCAAUAUAUGACAGAGAAAAUAUUCAAAUCACAACUUUAAAUUCAUGUAUUAUGCAAAAGCAAGAUGUAGGAAUUUAAACAUAAACUGUUUAAUUACACACCCGAGUGAAGAGAAAAGAAAUAAGACAGUUCUGACUUGGUUUUUGUUUGAAGAAUUGAUCAAGCUGGUUGCACUCUGUCCUGCACUAAAGUCUAGAAAACACAAUAAUAUGAUAUAUUUUUAUUACUAUGUUUAACACGUUUAACUAGACAAGCUGUUAUUGUUUAUCUAAGCUGCGAAAUGAAGGAAAUAUUUGAAAUAACAGGAUGAAUUUUGAGCUUGAAAGAGCUGGACUGGUCUCAGUGUUUUUCUCACCCUACUGUUUCUCUUGCUUGAGGGGAUGGGGGUGUCUUUAUGUUUAAACGCGUGUGUGUGUGUGUGUGUGUGUGUGUGUGUGUGUGUGUGUGUGUGUGAACAGACAGGGUUGAUGACCUUUUCAAGAGGGCUAUCAUUUAAUAAACACUGACAGCCUUUUAGAGACCACUUACCAUUCAUCUGGUCUACAAGAUUAGGCCCCGCAGUGAAACUACACAGUGAUCGAAUCAUUGUCCCCAGACGGCAAAGUGACAGCAAGCAAACACAAAAUCAAUAUUUCAGUGAUGAGGAUUCAUAUUUUAGGAAUUCUGGAAGCACCGUGCGACAGCCCUCAAUCCAUUCAUCCAUCCAUUUUCUGUACCUGGUUAAGUAUGCGGGUCAGGAGAGGUUAGACUCUAUAAUGCAUUUGAGGAGAGGUAGGGUACAUUCAGAGCAGGACAGCAGACUAUAACAGGGCCGACAGAAAUGAGCUGUGUCCCAUUUUGGAGAGUCAGAAAAUGAUGCUGUCAGGGUGCUGCUUGUACAAACUUUUGUAAUGGAAAGCUUGUGUUACAAACUGGGAGGUUACACUCAAAUACUUUGACUUUCACAAAAGUUGGCAAAAGUUGGCAAGUGUGGAACCAAAAGUUCUUGGCAAGGAUUCAUGUGGGGGACUAUUAAAGUAAUAAGACGGCCUCUGCCGGACUGAUCUCACUCUUCCUCUUAAGAGAGUUUGAGUCUGAGAAAAAUACAACACUUUUUAAAAUGAUUCGUCUUUACGAUAUGAUAAUAAAAAGAUAUGAAACUAAAAUGAUUCGUCUUUGGUUCUUUUAUGAGUAAACUUAUCACAGGGUCCACCUCUGGCCUUGAGUGAUUAAAUCAGAAUUCAUAAAUUCGCCAUACUCCGGGCCAAGGCUGCCUUACACGCCUCUGUGGUUUACCAAACUCGUACUUACACAGUGUAGGUAAGAUUUGAGCACAUUGUAUCAUAUAAGUAAGCACAACAAGUAAUCAUAAGGUGCGCUAGAUUAUAAGGCACACUGUCAAUUUUUUAAAAAAGUUAAGGAUUUUAAGUGGGCCUUAUAAAUACGGUACCUAUGAUCUGUCAUCUGCAUCACAUGCAUUUACACAACUUAGAACAUCUUAAAAUGUAUAAAACAAUACCAAAGAAAAAAAAACUUCAUUCUUUGAAAAACUUUUUUAAAGAAAGAGCAUUUGUGCUAUACUGAAAAGGACCAUGCAUCAAUUUGUCACAUCGCUUUGACGAGAUGAUGUUGAUGAUACUGAAUCAAACCAAAGAUUAAGUGAAAUCAUACGAGUACAAAAUCCUUUAUAAAAUCAGGACUUGAGUCAGUGUUUUAUUAUGAUUUGGAACAAUGUCUCUCACUUUUAAGCUCUGCAGUCGUUUACUUGAGCAGGAUUUCUAAAGCCUCUCUCUUGCAGUGCUCAUUUGGUCCCUCUGCUUUUCAGAUACAUGGAUACCUUCUCCUUCUCCUGCUCUCCUCUCUCCACCUCUGUCUGCAUAAUUGCUUGUACGGCUUUUGCACAAUGUGUCAAAAGAGACAGCUUCUCCCUUUCCGUCACAUUGAUCUGAGCUGCUUAUAAUGAAGUGAAAGUGAGAGCUGUUUGAGGGACGGCAUGCACCUCAUUUAGGAUAUCGGGCUGCCCUAAACAUGAUUUAAAAUUGAAAUCCAAUAAUCGUCCGGCUCUCAUCAGUGUUUACAUCAAAGUUAUUUUCUGGCAGUAGUUUAAAUCCCAUCUUUGCAAAGCCAUAGCCUAAUUUCAACAUACUUAUCCCUCAUACAGCACUGCACAUAGACUUUCAUGAGCUGUGUGAUGUUCAAGGUUCAGAGAUAUGGUUUCAGUAUUCCCCAAGGAGGAUGAAGGAUGAAGGAAGUGAGGAGGAAAAAAGCAGACUGCAAAUGAACUUGGGCUUCACUGGCUGAGAGACCCUUGAAUGCUGAGGUGGUGGAUCCAUAAGUGGAGGACGCAAGAGCUUAUUUAGCAACAGUAAUGAGCUGUGGACCCUCAUGCAGAUGGUCAAGAGACUGGGAUGCAAUUUAAUACUAUUAUUUCAGCAUCAAUAUUCACAAGUUGUGACCUGAAAAUCAAGGCAGUCCCCCUUUGACAUCUGUUCUGAACACAGAUCUUUGAAUGGCUUUUCUAAACUUUCACUCAUGAAUCAUUGUUGAGCAUCUUGUAAGUGACUUCAGUAACACUUUAUGUGACGCCUAUCUCUAUAACGCAUUAUAAAUAUAUUUAUAAUGCAUUCUAAUCACAUUAAAGCACUGUACAACUAUAGUUAUAAACACUUAUAAAUGAUCACAAUGCUUUAUAACAAUAAUCAUGAAACAUUAUAAAGCAUUUUAUCAUGACUUACAAGGUCUGGUAUUAUCAUGGGUUAUAACUGUUAACAACUCACUGACAGUGCCUACAUAGAUAAUGCAUUAUACAUAUAUUUAUGAUGUGUUAUAAUUUGCUUCUCAACUUGUAUAACUAUCAUUCUCAUCACUAUCUAUCAACACUCAUUAAUUAUCAUGUCAUGAUAAAAUGCUUAAUCAUGUGUUAUGAUUGUUGCUAUAAAGCAUUAUGAUCAUUUAUGAGAGAUUAUACCCAUAGUUAUACAGUGCUAUAACAGUGCGUGAUUAUAAUGCAUUAUAAAUAUAGUUAUAAUGCAUAAAUAGGCGUCAAGUAAAGUGUUACCGUGACUUCUUUUAAACUAGUUCCAGUUAAAAACCUUCUUGCUUUGAGGCAACACAGCUGUAAACAAAUAAAAAACAAAAACCUUCCAACAGACAUGUUGAAUCUGAAAAAAAAAACCAAAGAAAAUGAGAUUCAGAAAAAAAAAAAAGGCUCAUGUUUUCAUUUCAUCUUCCAAAAAUAGCCAGAGUGCAUUUUGUAGUGCAACAAGAGUCGACAGAUUUUACAUGACUAAUCCACUACCAUUAUAACGCACACACACACACACACACACACACACACACACAAUCACGUACGCGACAGGUUCACAGUAAGUGCUGGGCCACAGUCUUCUGGUGACACGUUUCAUGCACCGCUGCAGCAAACACGAGAAGUGCAUACCGGAAACAGGUCGACAAGGGUAAGAGCAAGAGCGCCAACACGGCGCACGCAAACGCUCACCCACCCGUCUCAUGUUUGUCGAUUAAAUAUGAAGCAAUUACACAUCCUUACACCAGCCACGCUACUUCUCAAUCUCACAUCUGAAUGAAGAAAUCUCUCUUUCGUCUGUUUUUUCCCAGCUGGGAGGAAAAAACUUCACCAACAUCUCACGGUGGAAACAAACAUCUCCUCCACAUCCUCCCAGGACCCUCUUAUGCAUCUUAUUGAUAGCAAAGAUGAGGGGUGAAUUGAUGAACUUACACUCGUAUGAAUAAAUUACUGAGCCAACUUGUACGGGAAUACAUUUACAUCUAGAUGAGAUUAAAGGCCCGACAUACAAGCUCAUUACUGGCCUCUGCUGCUUCCUUCAGACGUCAUCACCCAAUUGCAUCCUAACUCAUUCCGCGGUACUGCUGCUGUGACUGGUAGAACAAUAAGUACAGUAACAGGCUGAUUGAUGUGAUAAAUCAGAGCGAGGGGACACACUGGAGCCACCAGCCGCACAUUAUGAAGGCUGAGCUUUAGUUGCUGCACUGGAGACCCCUCGGUGCAGAUAAAUGUCUCCACAGUUGAAGUCGAGGGAUUCUUAAUUAAAGGCUAAAUAGGACAGCUCUACCCGCAGAAAUUAUCAAAAGAAAAUCCUCCAACGAUUUGCACGCUGACCCCUUUUCUUCUACUGUUAUGUGUUGAAAUGAUCCUUGGAGAGCCUUUUAUGUCUGCAAAUUAAACACAGUUUAUGCGCUAUCAUUUUAUGUGGCUCUUUAAGGAGCAAAAAGCAGCAACAUAAAGACCUGUUUAACAAGCAGUGUAGUCUAAACAUGUACGUAACUCCUCACACCAGGUCCAUUAACACUUCUGCACACACAUUUAUGGAUUUAGGUGUUUUAUGUUGCAUUUUACGGCCUGCCAUUAAUCACAUUUUUGGACAUUUGUGCUCAGAUGUUGAUAACAGAGGUGGAAAUCACUUCCAUUGUUUUGUAUUUCUACUAUAAUACAUUCAUCUCCAUUAAACUAUAUUAACAAUUUAUGGGUUUUUCUGCACCAUUUUUAUUUAGUGUGGCAUUUACGGUGUCUAGCAUACUCUGUUUUUACAUUUAAAAUAAAUGAGUUUUUACAGUAGGUUAUAAAGUAACAUCGUGCAUCAAAUACAUUAAAUCACAUUAAAGUAAUGUUCUCAAAAUAUUAAUGAACACCUUUAAAUCAAUGAGCAGAAAAGCUGCUGUGAGAAAAUUUUGGUUCGACUUGAUGUUGAUGCCUCUUGUCUCUUGUUCUGUUUGUGAAAGUUUUUCAGACAAAAUCCUAAUGAAAAAGUCAAAACAUGAUGUUUAAAGUCCCACUUCAUUUUUUUUUUUCUACCUAAAGUGUUCUCAGUGGUCUUUAAAUUGUGAUUAUGAAGUUUUUACCAAAAAUCGCGUUACCUCCAGUAGAUUAUUAGCAAUUCACCUCUGAGUCGUGGGCGGAAACAGCACUGCUCUACACACUCGUCUUCACGUUAGCUUGCAGCCUAACAUCGCCUGUGAAGUGAAAGUGGCAGGUAACAUAGGAGCUAUUCAGCUCUCGGACACUAAUGUCUUUAGGGCCAUGAUAAAAGUUAAUAUCAAAACUAGCUUUCUUAUGAGAACUGCAAUCCACUAACGCACACGCUUGUUCAGCGAUCAUCCUCCAUAUUUCUCCUCUGUAUGCAGGGUGUGGCCUGCACUGUGGGGCUGCAGGGGCGGAGCUUGGAUUGGUUCUGUACUAAAUCUCACUGUGUCUGAGCCUGCCGUUUGGGUCUGUCAGAGAUUCACAGCGAUUUUAAUGAAGAAAUACUCAGAAAAGCAAUUUUGCAUUUAUGAUAUGUCCUGUAGCAUCACAAAAAUGCCAUAUGAACAUACAGAAAACAAGAAAAACAUGAUUUUUAUCGGAGUGGGUCUUUAAGGCCUGCUUUCAAGUAUCUGGUUUGGCACUUACCCCUACACAGAGGUUUAAGCAUUAAAAUCCUAAUGAAAUCUGGCUGAUAGUCUUAAUAUAAACUUUAAGAUCAUUAAAAGUCAUUGGUAUCAAAUUCAGUCUGUUUCUCAACCGUUAAAAAAUGAUGCAUUGUACCUUUAAAGCUGGAUUCAUAUAUACAUAAAACUCCUAAAAAGUUUCUGGUGAUUUUCAACCCAACAUUCCCUAGACUUUUCACCUCCUGGUGAAAUUUUCAUGAGAAGCCAGAGGGAGUUGGUGCAAGAAAUAUUUGGGAAAAUUCACCAUGAGUAAAGUAGGUAGGGAGCAAUGAUGCCAACAUCAUGCAAGGGGUGGGGACUUAGAAGCGACACAUAACAAGAUUAAAAAAGAAAAAAAAGAAAAAAACAUCAACAGUACAGUGGGGAAAACAGUCAAUGCGGAGAACAAUCACAGGCAGAAUGCACGUUAUAAUGAUAUCCCAUCUUUCAUUGGCAGUAAUCUGCAGGGAUUUAUCUGUAUAAACAGAUAUCUGCAUGCAAGUGCAGCUAAAAGAGUGGGGCCACCGUGUAACUUCUUAUUUACAGUGUGAGAAACAGAUAAAGUGGUUUUACUGUGGGGAAGUAGAUGCUGCAUGUAAACAGAAGUGUUGCCUGGAAGUUGUCUGACUGUAACUGCAGGCUGGACCAGAAUAACUGAUAAGAUGACACCUGCUCCCAGAGGCUUACGUUGCAUAGAUUGUCAGAUGUGAUUGCCACUGGGUCCUGAGAAUGCAUUAAUAUAAAUGUGAAAAAUCCUCUCAGAGCAGCUUUCUCUUGUGCUUCGUCUGCCAUCACGCUGUAAACAUAACACUGUGGUUUUGACCGAAUGUCCCUGCCUCUUUACAUCCAAACAAGUACAAUUCUCCUCUUACUAUAUUGCGAGAGAAAGGGGAAAAUGAAGGAAAUAUUAACCCUGGCAAUAGAGGUAGGCAGAAAAGCGCAUGGAACAGCAAAAUUAUAUGCAUCAGCACGCCUGCUCAUUUGCUCUAAAUGGUACAGACAAGUUUCUGCUGCAUUCACACAUUGGCUGCCCAGACUUUAAACAGACGUGGUACUUGGGGGCUCGAAGGCUGUACACAUAGACUGACAUUUGCAUUCUCACAUGGAGACCCCUCUGUAUAAUGUCAUGACAUUUUGAGAAGUGCAAAGUACGUCUGAAAGAAGCUAGACCGUCAUUUUGGACACAGAUGCCAGCUGUUAUCAAGAAAAAAUCUCUGUGGACUGCCAAUGGCUAGUUGGUGAGGCAUUUUGCAGAUGUAGAGCCCCUUUGCUGGUGUUUGAGACCAAAAGCACGUGGUCAAAAAUGUAAUGCAGAUUUCUGUGUAACAGUCAAAGGGCAUCAGAAUGAGGAAAUUAAAUGACUAUGCUUAAUUCCUUUAUAAUAUCAAUCUGCCAGAGCCCUCAUGGGUGAAAACAGCAAGGCUGCAAGUGCAAAAAAAAAACUGGAGCUGAAAUGGCCUGCAGCUCAAUGUGAAAUUAAAAGUGAAAGACAUGGACAUAAAUGGAGGGAGGAAAACAACACAGAGUGUAUAGAGGUGAAGGUGGCUCCUCAGGGAAAUCUGCUGAAGGGGAAGCUCAGGGGGAGGAUAAGACCCCUGUCAUCGCUGACCCGAGUAUAGACACAUCAUGCACAUGAGCACACAUGAAUGAAAGCCUGAGAACACUUGGAUUGAAGACGCAUAAAGCAAACAGAGGGUUUUCCGAGACAAAAAAAAUUUAUAGAAACCGUAUAAUCUUGCCCAGGUCAUGAUAUGCAGCAGAUAAAAAUAGAGAGAGCGAGAGAAUGGAGCUGAACCUUAUACACCACCGGAAAAGCACUGCCUGAAGAGUGUGGGCAUCAGCACCUGUCACUUCUCGCUUCCAGAUGUUCAAUAGAUGCCUUGUGGCACUCUGCAUGGCCCAUCUAUCACUCACACAAAGCCAUAACCUUCUGCUUCCCCGUUCGCCAUUACAUAUUCAGGCAGCAAUCUGAAUAUGAGAUGCACAUGGGACCACGGUGGAGAGCGGGGAGUGAAAGGUUAAGUCUCAGGCUGCGGGUGACAGCGAGGAAAGGGGACCAUGCAUCCAUGUUGGCAGGUACAUGUUAAAUAGCUCAAAGAAAUGGCUGCUGUUCAUAUUUACGGCAGGCAACAGAGACAGAGCAGCGCUGUCGAGGACCUCAUGGGUGCCAGCUGAUGGACAGGCACUGCUAUGUGGAUCAAAUCACCACAGAUAGAUGUGACUCCAUGGGAUAGAACGGCUGUCCCUCUGGUAAGAGUUGUCUUGUCGAGAGAAAAGGACAAUCUCAUAUUUUUUGGAGAGUCAACAUAAUCAACUUCAGCCAUCUUCCUCUCUCUCUCCCAUCACAUUGGCAUCAGAAAAAAUACGAGUAAAUGUCUUUUAAGAUUAAAAAUUUUAUGAAAAAAAAAAUUACUAAUUUUUCCGCUCAUAUUGGGCCUUAGUAGUCUUCUGUAACUUUUGCAAGUCUGCCGUUGUAACAAUUGUUAUAUUUUAUUUUAUGUAAUAUGUCUUAUAUGUAAUUUACGGUAAACACAGCUACUUUAUUUCUCUGUUUUUAUGUGGACUGUAAACAUUUGAGACUAUUUUCACAUCUUAAUCUAGAAGGUUUAGAUCAGACAGCAUGAGUUUACUCAAAUAUAAAACAGUGUAAAAAAUCAUUCCACUAUGUAGGCCUACUUAACCUGACAUAGUAAGGUUGGUAUUUCAUACCUAGUUCCUCUUUUCUAUUAUUCUGUUAAACUGAGCAAACCUUCAAUAAACAAAUAAACCAGCUAUAACGUGGGGAAGUGUGAUGAUAAAAUAAUGCAGGUAUUUGAUUAAUGACAGUCUUCAGGGGAACAUGUCGUGCAAUUACUUGUUUUACUGCAACUGCACCUUUUUUAUUUUAUUGACUGGACCUUUACUGCAUAAGAGUGAUACAAACCUUGUAUGUCAGAUCAAUACCACAGAGGAAGCCUAAUUCAUGAAAACAUGUAUUUUGAUAGAGGUGUAUGAAGACCGUCUGUGCUCCACUGCAUCUUCUGGAUGAAUCAAUGUAAUCGUAAUCUGUUUGUUGAUUUUAUUUUUUUUAAAAAGUAGAUUGUUUCUGCUUUAGUCUAUUUUGACCUCGUUGUAAGUGCUCACACUGCAAUAACAAAGAGAUUUCACACUGUAUUUUUUGAGUGUCACAAUCAUGAGCCUUUUCCUGGUUUUUAUCAUAUUUGACAUAUAGUGUUUCCAUGCACACAGAUUAACCAGGUUAUUCAUAUCCUUGUAAACAUGAUGAAUACGUGUAUCAUUCCCAAUUCAAUGGCUGCAUUCUUUGAAAGACACUUUUCAAGACGUGACAAAGCUGUCCAAUUAGAAAAGAACCACAAGAAUUGACUGAUAACUACAUUCCCAAAGAUUCCACCUUUCAUGGUCCAACCUAAUGCAGACAUAUUUCAAACAAGAUGUCACUCUUAAAAUAUUAGCACCUCUAGCUCAAUUGAAAAGCCAGGUCAUAAAAUUGGCUUUUAAACUUUCAAUUGACGUGAAAUUGAAAGGUUAACUUAUAUGACUCUUGUUAUCGGCCAUUUUUUUCUUAUUCUAGUGGUAAUUAUUUGGUCUGUUUUUGUCCUUAUGAGAUAUAGAAGCAUGAGGAGGAGAGUGCUCAGUAGUGGGCCUACCGUCACACUUUUAUUAUAACAACGUAUAGGCAGGUUAAAGGGUAACGCAGUUGACAUUACAAACAUGAAAUUGCACUUGGACCAGACUGUUUUAUUUCAGUUUAGCAUCAGCAGUUAAAGCAGCCUACAUAAAAAAAACACAUGGGUCACCGUCUUAGAUUGAGAUUCAGCUUAUGUUGUUUUUAGCUCUUCAGAUAUCUACAUCAAGCUAAUUAUUUCCCUCCAUUGGUUAAAUGCCUGUGCCAUAUCCCUCUAACAACGGUUUUAUGACGAUAUAUCAAAUUAUAUGACUUUUGGAAAUGAAAAGCAGUGUGAUUUUCCUUGCUGGAGUUUAUAUUAAAUGAAGUCAUUAAAUAGUGUGCUGUGUUUUGACAUUUAUCUACAGCUUCUAAAUAAAAUCUGGCUCUUAUAAAACGUCCUUGAGCAGGCUUCAUCGGGUUUACUCCCCACCGAGCACGGAGUAAUAAAUGAAAUUGAUACCAAAAUGGACUUCUAAUCCAAAAACAUCAGAUGUCAUUUACUGUAGCAGACAUGAGCACAGGGAUGAUUCAUCCUCUGUCCUUGAAUGCAAUUUGUGGUUCGGUGCAACCUUUGGCCUGGGCGUGCUGUGACAGUACAUUUCUAUAGGUCACAAGGGAAGACCAUAAACAUGUUGUUAGUGAUGUUGGCUGGCAAACACUUACAGAACACAAGAAACACGAAAACAAACCCAGCAGAGUGUAAAAUCGUCAUAAUACAUUGGCAGGAGGCAACGGAGGAGCUGCCGCCUGUCAGUCAGUUUUAUAUUUAGAGCCAGAGUAGCUGCUUUGAUUCACGGGCAAAGACGCAGAGACACAGUGCUGCAUGUUCUGAGAGGAAGAUACAAGAAUAAAAAAUUAAUAGCUUUCUCACAAGACAGAUUAAUAAUUUCUGACACCUGCAGUUUACCUAAAACUACCUAUACUGUUUGUUUUGUGACGUCAGUUUAAACGAAAAACCUUCCGCUUCCUUUGAACAUAUAACUCUCACUACCCUCAAAUUCUCAUCGUCUACAUCAGACUGAUGGCUGUUAUGUAAUUUCCCACAAAGACAGGCUUGAACAAAUAAGUGUUUCCUUCACUGCUGUUCAGCUGGAAAAUACAGCUGUCUUAUUGGCUUAUCAAGCUAGCACUUCAUACACACACUUACUGUUUGUACUCAAAACUAGGAUUAAUGCACUUUUUCACCACAGAGCAUUUAAAUACGAUUGAGACUUUCAGUUUCAACCACAGAACAAUAGGGUUCAUAUAGACUGUAUAUAGAAUGGACAGCAUCUGCCUCCUCGCUGGGUGAAGCCACUCCGAGGAACAGCACCCUCUGGUGACGGGCUGUGGUAUAGGUCAUAAAUCCCACCUCUUCCAGCAAAGCUUAUGAAGUAGUGGACGAACUUUAGAAAUUUAUUACACAGAAUAUAAAUUCUGCUGCUUGCGAUGUUGACAUGUAGUUGUUGUAAGACUGGUUUGUGCUCAAGUCCUCUUUUUUCUGUACAGCUCCAUUUUUUAAAUUUAUUAAGCAGUUUAUGUUUUCCAAGAUUGAGACUUAAUACAGCCUAUGGGCGUACAAAGAUUUUGUAGCUCACCAGGGAUAUGCUGUUUGAGCCGAGCGUCAUCACAUCACAUCUCCCACUAAAUGCGUACAAUGCUACUGCGCAAUGUUAGCUUCAGGAAGUGGAGAAAAAUCACGGAAAUACCGAGAGCUUUUCGGCUUCAAAUCCGUAUACUGGCAGAAGGCGGAACCAAGUUGUCCAUAGUAAAUACAGUCUAUGGUUCGUAUUUACAAAGGUAAAGCUAGUUACACACAGUGCAGCUUCUUUAAACAAGUGUAGUCACUCCCUGCUGGCAGUUAAAGGUACUGCAGGCUCAAACAUAUUCACCAUCAGCUUCAUACUUUUUUAAAAUCCCCCUCUUUCGUCGUGAGAGGAUUUGUUCUGGUAAAUGGUAUGAACUGGCCCAAAACUUUAUUGCACAAAGGGCAAAUGUUGUUGUUUUGAAUCACACUGAAUGGUAGGGGACUGAUUUACUGUGUCCAUCCAUUUGAAAAGCCCUUUCCUGGAUGUUUCAUUAUGUUGAUAAAGCUGUUAGCAUCUGAUACAGAGGGAGCGAGGAUGACAUGCAACAAUGAUCCAAGGUCAGAUUUACACGCAAGACAUCCCGGCAACAUGACAAGCACCUGAGCCAGCUGAGCCUCUGAGGUGUCUCAGCCAUCUCAUGUUCAUCUCACUUCACUCUGAAACACAUUGUACACACGUACUGCUUCCACAGGGGGGGUGGGGGGCCUCAAAGGUCAGCGCAGUUUGGCCCACAUUUGUUGCUUAAAGUCAGUCCCCGGCAGAGUGCCAGUGUGCUGUGGCACUGAGGCAUGAUAGAUGUACGAGCCAAGUGUUUGUGUGUCUGUGCAUGCAACCGAACCUGUUGCCGGAGCCUGUUUCUGUCAUUUGUUUUGGUCUGUGUGGGUCUGAAUAUAUUACCACAAAUGGACAAAGUAAUCAGUGCCAGGAAUAGCAUGAAAAUGACAGGACAUCUGAAAGUCAAUUGGGAUUGCAUUUAUAUUGCAGGAUAGGGAUAGGCUACGAUAAAUAUCCCAGACAGACAUACACCAAAUUUAUCAGGUGAUCACGGAGGGAGAUUGCAGAAGAGCAGUUUAUUCCUGUUCAUUUAAAAUGGGUGACAGCACAUGGAGGACGAGAGGGGAGACAGCCAGCCCCCAAAAAUAAAAUAGAUGAGUUUUGCUGUGUCACGUCGCUUCCCUAGGGGUGGAGAUGUCAUGAGUCCAGUGUUAAAUAAAAGAAGAUACUUCUCCGGUUUAAUUCAAAUAUCACUCUCGAGGGAAAAAAGUAGAUAUUACCUUAAUGACCCUGACAAUACUCUUUGUGAUACAUCAAGACAUUGUCUAAAGCUGUGCUGAUGAAUGUUGAUACGUGCACAUUUGCAAGGACAUUUUCCUCAGAAUGAAGUGCAGUAAAUUUGACUUUGUAGGAAUAGGAGACAGGAGACAAUCACAGCCAUGAGAAUGGGGUCAAAAAAACAUCUAAAAACACGACAACUGGCAGAUAAAGGAAAAAGCUCAUUUCAAACCAGAGGAAGUGUUAUCUGCUGCUACAGAUGCAGUGAGUACAACUGUGAGUCUAAUGUAUUUUUAAUGGCAGAAAUCUAAAAUCAUUAUUAAAUUACAUCCAAAUCAAUAUUUUGUGUCAAAUAAUUGAUUUUUUAAGUAAGUAGCCGUGUAAUAAAACUGAGAUAAUAUAUAGUGUGUGGGUUGCUGUGACAGGGGAACACUUUCAGAGUGAGACCACAGACAGUAUAAAACAUGGCUGUGGUCUUUGAGAUGUCACCCAUUUGUUUCAGCCACCAUAUUGGAAAGUUUGUCUGAACUCCAACUUUUAAUCAGCUGCUCCACAACUUGUGUUUUUCCCCUCAUAUGCAAAUUUAUGCACAGCUCUGAGCGUUUUUAUCAUCUUAAAGUAAGUGUUAUGAGAAAAUGUGCUCCGGGUACAAUGUAUAGGAUAAAGUAAAGAGCAACAGACACAGUGAUCAAGUCGGGCUCAAGAUGAGGAACUUUUAGUUUGUAUCAAUUUCAGCGCCCCCUGUGAACUUGGCUGUCUUUACUAAUCUUACACAUGACUAAGUAGUUUCUCCUGACAAAAAAAAUGUCAUCCUGCUGACUUUUGACGCUCAAAUUUGGGAUUGUACACUAUUAAGGGAAUAAAAAAAAAAGGGGAUGCUAAAAUAACUUAGAAUAAGUAAAAUAACAAGUGCUAAAAUAACUUUCGUAGUGUAGCCAUUUUGUUUCCGCCUCCGAUUUUGCUUUUUUCUGACUUGGUAAUUGAAACACUGGUAACUGGGGUGUGACGUCAUUCCCAGCUCAGACAUCUGACUUCUGAGGUAACUCGAAUGGAGCAUAUAUCUCUGCUGGGCUGACACCUACCUCCUCUCAGUAAUUUUAGGGAUGAAAAAUUACAACACAAAAAUACUGAUCUUGUUUACUUCACGGACAUGAAAAACUCCUAAAAAGGAGCUUUAAAAGUCCCAUUUCAACUCAGGACUUCAUGGGAUUUUCAUUGGCUUUCCUUGAAACUGCAUUUCUUUUUUUUUUUUUCCAUACAUUUUUUUGCUGGUUGAAUAUCCAAUGGCAACGUAUGAAAGGGUUAAAUUAAGGACAUGUCUGCCAUUUUAUACUGUUUUUAAUCGACAAAGCAUCAAAAACACCACCGAGGGAAGGAUAAAGUUUACUGUCUAUAAGCCAACUGUUCCUGUCAUCUUCAGAAACCUUCAGAAAUCUUCCGAACGAUGAUGUAAUGGUGACAGCUCAGCACAGGACAGCGUUUUCAUGUGCCCUGAUUGGCCAGCUGCCUGUCACCCUGAGGCUUUACAACUCAUCAGACCCACAGUGCAAGGCUGUCAAAUCUCUCUCUGCCAUCUUUCAGCACUGGACUCAUCUACUGUAUAGUACUACAAAGGCUAAACAGAGGACAGGUGGAGCAAUCAUUCAUGCAAAUAUUAGUCAGAUUGCAAAGGACGAGAAUGAAUGAGGACAACUUUAAAGCUGAACUGCAGAGAGAACUUUAACAGACUCCCAAACUUUUCUAUGUGGAGGUUUUUUGUCUACCAUUUCUUGCUUUUUUCUCCUCUUCAUGUCAACAACAAAUGAUAUUUUUAGCAGAUUAAUCAGGGUUAAAUCACAGUUUUCACAGAGGACAGGUGUGUUAAAGCAUGAUUUUCCUGGUGUGUGUGUGUGUGUGUGUGUGUGUACACGUGUGUAGAUUUGUGAGCUUGGCUUCCUCCCAGCUGUCAAAGGUCAUGGUUAUACAUGUGGGACCUUGAUGCUGUUGCUGCAGCGAAAGGAGUGUUUCUGCCUAGACUGAUGCAAUGAGAGCUGAAGGAUGUUUACCGUCAGGGGUCAAACCACAGUGCUUAUUUCUCCUCCAUCUAAAGUGCACAGUGGUUUAUACAGACAGCAGGAUGUGCAUGGACAUGUAGUGGCCAAGAGCAUAAACAUUCAAUUGCCUUUAAAGCAACAUAACUCUUAAGAAGAGCCACAUUAUAGAAUAAUUUAUGUAGGGAGUAGUUUGGUGGAUUUUGGGCCAUAAAUGCUUUGCUAGGGACCACGUAGAAGUCUGGAACAGAGGCAGGUUAUAUAUAAAAAAUGGAUAAUGGCAUUCAAAAGAAGUGUAGAUUGUUAAGGUAUGUGGUAGCAUAAAUGUAAAAAGUUGGAGGAAUCCUUGAGGAAAUGGGGGGAAAAAAAUCCUCUCUUCUCAUCAGUUUAAGAUUGGCAGUUGGCUUUUUUGAUGUGACUGCUAAUCUUCCUCCUGCCUGAGACGUUGCCUGGUAGCAUUAAAGAACAAUAAAGCAGCUGUGGCACACAAGGGUCUGGGCUCACAGCUUUACACAGAUUCAUUUCUUCUUCUCCUGGAGUGGAAAAGGGCACAAAGUGUUUGCUUUCUUAGCAUUCUCCAUACAUACUGCAGCUACCUGCAGGAACAUUUAGUCCACACAGGAAGAAUAUCCAGGCAAAGACUAGCAGGAAUAAAUGUCUGUGGCUUGUUUUAUUUUUUUUUAUCACGUAUUAUGUGCCAUGUUUAGACUGUCAUGUGUAAAGUGCCAUUAAAAUGAGGUGUAAAAAUCAGGGUUCCUAUGCAAGUAUGCACUGCAAAAACAGCCCUACUAGAAAGAAGCUAAAUAUUCUUAUAUUUAAUCAAAUAAUCUUGUAUCAAGCUAAAAAAAUCUGCCAAUGGGGUAAGCUUUUUUUGCUUGACAAGAAUUCUCAAAAUAGGAACAAUUUUCUUGGCCCUGACAGACUCAAAUGAAACUUAAAACUAGACAGAAAAUCUUAUAUUAAUCUAAUUUUCCUACAGCAAGAAAUGAAAAAUGAAGAUGAAGUUACUUAAAAUAAAAAUUUUAGUCUCUUGAAUAAAUGAACUUCAAGAAAAUACACCUAAUCUAGGAUUAAUAAUGAGCAUGACAGUAGUUCAAAUAAGACACAAUUUCUUAAAACAGCAUAGCAAAUAUAAGCAAUGUUUCUUCAAUCAAGAUACCAAAACAUUCUCAUUAAAUGUAUAUUUUUCUUUCCACAAGCAAGCAUGUGGAAAGAAAGCAUGUUUGUUUUUGUUUUUUGUUGUUUUGCAGUUUUCAUCUGGUCAUUGUAUUAUGUUUUGUGUAGUACAGACUAGCCUACUGACAUCUUUAUAUGUCAGAUACUGUAUGAAGCAGCAGAUUCUGUCAGGUUUAGAUGACCUGCAAUGGAAGUCUUAAUAAAAAAAUCAACUGUUCUUGCUUCAUGGCAUUCUUAAAUUGAGAAGUUGUACAUAUGUCAAUGAGACGAAUGAUCUUUUUGCUCCGCUGGAUUUUAUUGUAAAACAUUUUUCUACUCUAUUUCUGGUUCAUUCUAUCUCAAAAUUAGCUGGAAUAUCUUAUCAAGAAAAAGUUAGCCAUUUUCUCUUUAAAUUAGAUAAUUUUUCUAAUGCCAAACAUGCUUGACAAGAUUUAUAUUCUUUUUGUACAAAAGAUAAAACUUAUUUCUUUAAUAUAAGGCUGUUUUCCUUUCUUGAAAUUCCUUUUUUUUGCAGUUUGGAAAGUAUGGAAGUACUUUGAUCAAUUUCCAGGUCUUAAAAGUAUGGUAAAUGAGACAUAAAGUAUGGAAAAAUAUCUAUGUUUCCACAGUUCUAAAAUACUGUUUUCUAAAAAUACAAAAGUAGGUAUAAGUAGGUUAUGGAAAAGUAUGGAAAUUCAAACUGUGUAGGAACCCUGAAACAUUUAUAGUAUGUUACAAAUUCAUCCAUCUUAACCUUGCAAGCUGACACAUUUUUCCCUGUCAGGGCCAGAUUAGCAUCAUUAGCAUCAUCAUUAACAUCUGUCAGUCUCUUGAUCCAGUCUAGCCUCACUUGAGAGCAAGAUGUCAAGGUACCUGAGCAGCAUAUAUCCUGUUUGAAGUUACUCAUUAUUUCCCAUUGGAGAACUAUGGCCUGUUAUUUGAUGAGUGUACAAAAUAACUGUUUUAAUGUUAUUUAAUGGGCUCUUACAAUUUAACAAAACUAAAUGACAGUGCUUUAUAUCUGAAAUCAAAUAUGCAUUAUACUGCUCAUUCACAUCCACAUCAAAAGCUGAGCGCAUUAAUCUUACAAUAAUGUGUGGACUCAUGUUUGGUCUCAGAUCAGAAAAAUUUACUUGUAUUUCUGCAGAAUCUAUAAGAAAUGUAUGAGUUCACAAUCCCUUAAUACGCAGAAGUUACACACAGCUGACAGAACACACAGGGAGAACUACUGAGGUGCAUAUUUUAGAGAUAUCUGAUGUUUGCACUCUAAGCUGUAGUGUCACAAUGACAGUCUAGCAGAACAAACAGCCCAAAGCAACAAAUACUGCUGGUUUUUAUAGAAUAAUAAAGAAAGAAGCGUUAAUCCCAGCGCAAUGUCUCAAGAAUCUAGCUCUGGGUAGCAUGCACAAGAAAACUCUCAUAAAUAGUGAAGAGGUAUCUCUUGGCUUAUGGUCACAUGCAGCAUAUAUAUGAUGCAUGAUACAAACGCACAAACACCACUUUAUUUUACCUGUGGGCAUCGAAACAACCUGCCAUAGAUUGUGCUUUUUUUUUUUUUUUAUCUAGAGCAAUUGCCCACGCUAUACAUCUGGCGCCAAAGUGCUUCAUCACAUCCGACUGCUCAAUAACAGCUACAGUCAGAGACACAAUGCCAGAGAGGCCAUUGCAAUUUUGGACUGCGAUAUGGUUGAAAUGCAUUAAUUUAGCUGGAGCAGAUGUGGCGCGCAGAUGCACUGAGAGGUUUAUCACAACGGCUUCUCCGUCCCUUUUGUUGGCGGAUGAAAAGUAAAGUGACUUAGCCAAGUGGAAACUAAAAAUAAUAAAGCCUCUUGAUAAUAUAUAGUGCUGCUCGCAUAAGCUCCGAGUUAGACAAAAACAACCUAUGGGCUCUCAGUUUCAAAAACAAGAGAGAAAACUUGAGUGAAUGUCUGAUGUGGGAACUCUCUGGCGGCUCAUGUGAGAAAUAUGCAGACAAAUGUGGUAUGUAGAGCAAUGUGAAGACUGCUUCCCUGUGGAUUAGCCAUGGUCAAACACACAUGAUGAAUUUCAACAUAUCCAGCUAAGCAUUAAUUAUGAAUCACCUGCCUUGUUGGCUAUGCAUCAGCUGAGAGGAGACAAACUAAGGCAUACUGCAUGGUGGGCGCAUGAAGCUGAGAAAAGUGCUUAUACAGCACAUGAAAAGUGUGAGGGUGGCAUGUUGUGUUUGUGUGGGAGGAAGUGUGUGAAUUCACUGUAUUGUCUUUGAGAACAAAAAAAAACAAAAACCUGUGUGUGUAUUGGAGAGAGGGGGCGUGGAGGUCGUUUUCAUGAUGUGUUGUUCCCCUUGUGGUUUGGGUGCAAUCCCCUCUAUUUGAUUCCAGAUACAUUACUUUUAGAUUGAUUACAUAGAGACUUUAAACAACGGUAAUGCUAUUCAGAUCUGACACACAAGUCAAAGUCCCAAAAGAUUGAGGAUAUUUAAGAAUAAUCGCUGAGCACCACUACCACUACACGCACACUUAAGUACACAUAAAUACAUAAAUUCACACUGGGCAAUGGAUGCCUGGGUGACAAGGCACAUCAGUCACACCACAGGCAUUCAUAAUGUUGAGCAGGCCAACCUAGUAGGAGGCAUGACAUUAUUCCAACUCAUUACCAUCAACCUGGAGUAUUGUAACGUGACAUGACUCAUCUUGAUGCUUGUUAAUACUCUGUUUUUGCAGAGGUAAUCCUGCUGUGAAAUGGGGACAGUGGGUGCCCAGUGGCGUGUUCCCAACAAAUUGAAAAAGGCCAUGGAGCAAACAUGUUGUUUGCAGAGUGGGAGGAUCAAGAGGUACAAAUCAGGCUCAAAUUCAGUGAUACUGAAGUUGUGAAUUUCAGGUGUAGUUAUUCCGGUAGUAAAGGAAUGUCUGGGUUUCUCUCAGUUGACUUCUCAGCGACCUCAGAUGAUAAUGGAGCACAUGACAUUCUCUCUUAAGAAGAUGUACGACAUAAGGGACAUGAGCAUCAAUAUAAAAUCUCUACUGGGAUUCAUUAUUAUUCAUCAUUUAUUUAGUAUUCAUACAUUUAUCACACAUGAACUUGAAGCUUCUGUGAGGAGUUUUUUCACCUUUAUGAAAAACACUUAAAUUCAAUAUAUGAUUCACAAAUGCAAACAAGACCCUUUGCAACAAAACUAAGGUAUGAUUUCUUAUACCCAACAUAUCAGCUUUACCGAAGAUUACAUCUCAGAGAUACAUGCUCCUUUUUUGUGGGAUUGGCAGGAACUCUAAACUUAUCAACACAGAUCAUCAGACAUGUGACUCUAAAAUCCAGCCUACAUAUUUAUUUAGCUGUAGAAUGAGUAUAUUAAUGAAACAGCUGAGGAAUAGUUUACCUCACUAUUGAUACUAUUAAUAUUUUAACUCAUAUUCAUCAAAGUGCCAAUACACUUCCAUUCACUGUGGACUAAAUGCGAGGCUUGUAAUGGAGUGCUUCACAGUGUUGUUUUCAGUGUGACUCCUUUCUAACAUUUUGGCCCUGGAAAGCUACAGAAUUGUCCUCUCCUGUAAAGUUUAUAUAUCUUAAGCUUUUAAUCUUACCAGUAAUUUGAUACCAUACAGACUCAGAUCAUUUAUCCACACAAUAGUUGGCGCAUUUGUUAACAUUAUGGGUGUAGAGUUCUCCUCCUUCUCUAUACCUGUUGCUGUGAGUACUAAAGUUUACAUGCACAAUUUCUCCUCGUUUGACUAUUUCAGGGGACCCAUCUGAUAAUUUGAACACUGACCAGAACCUUUCAUGAUCUGAGGGAAAGGGGGAGUUGGUAUGGCAGCAGACAUAACCAAACAUCAUUAAAGUUAACUGCUGAGCUACUGCCUCAAUCAGUUUGUGAUUUUGGAUCAAUCAAUCAAUUAAGCUUUAUUCAUGUAGCACUUUUCAUACAGGUCAGAUGCAAUUCAAAGUGCUGAUUUUAAACAUAACAGUUGAGAGUGGGCAUACAAAUGAAAUGACAGAAAAUAGAAACAGGAUCAGUAGAGACUACUGCACAUCAAUAGCAGUACAAUAUGAGUAAUUAAAACAUUGAAUAAGAUAAAAAAAAAGUUAAAAACAUUCAAAAGAAAAGAUAUUGUAAAUAUUGAUUUAACAAUUGUACUGAUAUGUUUCACAUGUUAUUCUAAGGAGAGAGAUGAGAGGCUGGAAAUAAAAGAUGUGUUUUUAAUCUACAUAAAAAUAAUGAAAUGUGGCUUUUAAAAAGUUCAGAUAAGUCUUAAAAAAAGUCACUGAAUUUAUACCAUUUUCUAUACAAUAAUAAUUUCUUUAUAGCAGGACUCUAUUACAGAGCCUAUAUCAUCUUUUUUCCUCAUCUAAUCUCAUCAUUUGUAUAAUUUUUAGCUGUCUAUAUAAAAUGUUUAAAAUACAUGAUGAAAUUGCCAUUCAGUCGGUGAAGACACCUCUCUCUUGAAGUCGUUUGAUGUAACAGCUCUUCAGAGAUGUGAGUAAAGUAUAAAUUUAACGUGAACAAGCUGUUCUGCUUUUAAACACCCUCACAAAGUCAGGAUCAAAUGAUCAGUGCUCACUAAUGUUUUACAAAGUUACACUACAGUAACUCAAACAUAAAUUUUACAAGUAUUGGAUAAUUUGUGUCACUUAUUUUGCCAGCACACCUGAUCCUGGGUAAAUGCUUUAACAAUAAAUCACAGCGUUAGUAAGGAAAUGGAUAUGUGCCGUUUACUAAAUGGAUCACUGAAUCAUUUCAAGCAAAGCGUCCGAGUGAUUCUUUAAAUAAGACACUCGUCAAAGUGACACAAUAUCGCUGAAGAAUUAUAGGCAAGGAGGUAUCGUCGGACAGUUUUUAGACAUUUUUACUGAGUAAAACACUGUGAUAAAUUCAGUUUUGAGAAACAUACCUCUGUGCAGCAGCGUAUCAAAACGCCACUAUAAAUCCUGUUCUCGAACAUGAGAAGUGCACAGUCUGAGGCAGAUUUGGCUGUCUGUUUUAUCAAUAAAAAGCAUCACUAACUCUCCUGUCCAUAAGGCUCAACAGACUUGGAUUUAGAUUUGCUUCACUGGGAGAUACAGCCUGUAAAAUAUGAUAUAUGAGGCUUUUUUCUAACCGAUGAAACAUUUAUCUGGUAACCAGAAACUGCAACAGCGUGGUGAGUUGACAUUGUUAAAAAUGAUUCAAAAUGAUAGUUACAAACAUUUAAAGAAAUUUUGAUUUAAAAAAAAAAAAAAACAUUUAGUAAAGAAUUCUCCUAUAUGCUUGAAACCAAACAUAUGUUCAGUGUCAAGUACUUGUAUGAAUCCUUAUCAGAUGGGUCUGUCCAGCCUUCAGAACCAAAAGUCUGACUUGAACUGUAAGUCGGACAGCUCAGCAGCUCAGGUUACUAGAACAAGAAAUAAAAAAGUAAAAUAAAACUGGAUAAAAUGUGAUAAACCCUGGGGUAAAUCUGACUUGAUAGACCGUAACAUUGUAGGUUGAAAGCAGUUUUAAAGUUCCUGCUCCACUGAAGAAUAGACUCAAAUCAAUACUGAUGUUUAUUUGUCAGCAACAAAAGUAAACUAGAUCAUCAGUAUCGAGACUGAUAGUUUCUAAGUAGUUAUUUUUAAUGCCUGAAACCACUGUUGGGAUUAAGUGUCGGGCAAAUCAGAUUUUAUUUAACAUUUUUAAUCACAAAGAUUCUCUGUGAGCAAAAGUUUUGACUAUGAAAAGAAAGCAUGACAAGGUUAUUUGUUGAAAAUCACAUAAACGGGAUAAAAUUGGUGCUUUGCUUACAGGAGACACACAUAACAAGUCCACACAGCAGUUUCAAACACCAGGUUAAGUUGGUUAGUAGAAUGGACCAAAUUUUGGGGGUUCCUCUAUUUAUGGGACUCAACCAUUAACUGUGUAAACUGUUUUAUCUUGUUCAAAAAUGAGUUAAGUGUAUCUAAAGAGAUUCUCAGGCUUUUUAAAGGUCAAAGUUGAUCAACUUAGACCCCUGAAUCCCCCGUCUCAAACAGGACAGACUGUUAUCAUUCGUGGUACACGGAGUUGUAAAGGUUUAAAAAUAGGAUAUUGAGCAAACACAAUAUAGAAUUAUGGUCUCUGAAGCUGAAACUAAAGCUGUGACCUGGAGUGAAGAAAGUCUCAUGACACCGGAGGAUGGGACUGAAUGUUGUACAUGCAUGCUCAGCAGAAAUGCUGACAGGAGGAUGGAAUCUUAGCUGCUGAUCUGGGAGAUCUGCUUUAUCCCCUACAUAGCAGAGGUUACGGUAAACUAUCACCAGGGGAUAAAAGCUCAAGGUGUCAACCGUCAACUUUUCCCCAGCUCUCAAAAACAACUGCAAGGAUGUUUCCAAGAAAUACUUUCACCAUCAAAUAAUGUGCCUUUCUCCCCCCCCAGAAAGACGAAAGGUUAAUAAAUCUGAACUCUGAUCUGUGAAGUAUGAAAACCUGACUGCAAGCUGUCAGACCAUUAUGACUGGGCUUUUUAAAACUGCUCAGUGUGUAGACUCUUGUGUCGCUCAAAUGUAUUCACCGUGGAGGCCGGGUCACCAUUAAAUAGAUCACUUCUCACGCUGUAAGUAGAGCUUGUUAAUUGGCUUUUUGAAGAGCCUCUCCAAUGAAUAAUAGCGCAAUCUCUCAUUCUGCAGACCUAGUUAAUUCAAAAAUGUGUCAUUAAUUUGGGUCACCAGUUUUCAAUGAACAUUUGUAAGGGCACUAUGAGGAAUCAAGUAUCCGUGCCCGCAUCUGUUCAUCCAAAGCACCUCUUAACACAGUGACUCAUCACAAAGAGUCAAACCUCAUACUUGAAACAUUCAAACCAUAGAGUUGGUUAUAAUGUCUUUUAUGUUAUAGCAUUGGGGUUGAAUAACCUGUUGUAGUUGUUUACCCCUAAUGAAAAUGAAGUAAAGUUGACAUAAAUUGGCAUUGAAGUAACGUCAACAUAAAUUUUAAGCAGAAAAAAAGACGAUAGCUCAGACAAACCUUUUUCACAAAUCUUAGCAGACAAGCAGACCAAUAAUAUGUAGACAGGUAUGCUAAUAGUUACCAAAAGGCCUUGCCAAAAUUCAACCCAAGCUUGUGACUCUCAGGUAUUUUUAUGAUUUUAUUGACUAAGCAUGUAAAAUAAAAACCCAGCAUUCAAAACAAGAAGGAGAAGAAACCUCAGGGGUCCGUGUAUAAUCCGCCUAUUCAAUUAGUUCAUUCAAUCAAGUAAACGAAAAAUGAAAAAAACAAGUCAAUAUUUUGUUCAUUUGUUUUUCUAUAUAAUCAAAAAUAUUUUCAGUUCAAAACAGAACAUAUAAUAGAGAAGAAAACAAAAACGAAAUAAUGAAUCUACUUUUCGUUUUCAGGAUAUUGAUGUCCCCAUUUCCCACGGUGCCUUUCUACGGUGCGCACAUGUGCAUUGCGCAACGAAGUAGCCAACAACGUGAACCAAAAACUCUGGGCUAGAGCGGUAGAAAAAGGCUAACCUGCUGUCAUGGAGAUGGACGCAUCCUACGUAUCAUUCAAAGCUGCCAGGAGGGUCACGCUGAAGGAGGAAAAUAUGACCGUAGAAGAAACUACAACCAGAG
Non-coding RNA from Xyrichtys novacula (pearly razorfish), 30289 nucleotides. The record is from the annotation of a GenBank genome assembly. NCBI's taxonomy places the organism in Eukaryota, Metazoa, Chordata, Actinopteri, Labriformes, Labridae.